This 589-nucleotide ribosomal RNA is filed under the name uncultured bacterium. RNAcentral's name for it is "bacterial SSU rRNA". It matches the Rfam family "Bacterial small subunit ribosomal RNA", at positions 97 to 698 of the family's 1533-position model. The record is from RNAcentral.
GGCGGACGGGUGAGUAACACGUGGGCAACCUGCCCCUCAGACAGGGAUAACGCCUGGAAACGGGUGCUAAUCCCCGAUAGGUUCUUCUUUCGCAUGAGAGAAGAAGGAAAGGCGCUACGGCGUCACUGAGGGAGGGGCCCGCGGCGCAUUAGCUGGUUGGUGAGGUAACGGCCCACCAAGGCUACGACGGGUAGCUGGUCUGAGAGGACGAUCAGCCACACUGGGACUGAGACACGGCCCAGACUCCUACGGGAGGCAGCAGUGGGGAAUAUUGCGCAAUGGGCGAAAGCCUGACGCAGCAACGCCGCGUGGAGGAUGAAGGCUUUCGGGUUGUAAACUCCUUUCAGCAGGGACGAAACUGACGGUACCUGCAGAAGAAGCCCCGGCUAACUACGUGCCAGCAGCCGCGGUGAGACGUAGGGGGCAAGCGUUGUCCGGAUUUAUUGGGCGUAAAGAGCUCGUAGGCGGCUUGGCAAGUCGGAUGUGAAAUCUCCAGGCUUAACCUGGAGUCGCCAUCCGAUACUGCUAUGGCUAGAGUCCGGUAGAGGAUCGUGGAAUUCCUGGUGUAGCGGUGAAAUGCGCAGAUAUC